UAGGGAAUCUUCCACAAUGGACGCAAGUCUGAUGGAGCAACGCCGCGUGAGUGAAGAAGGUUUUCGGACCGUAAAGCUCUGUUGUUGGUGAAGAAGGAUAGAGGUAGUAACUGGCCUUUAUUUGACGGUAAUCAACCAGAAAGUCACGGCUAACUACGUGCCAGCAGCCGCGGUAAUACGUAGGUGGCAAGCGUUGUCCGGAUUUAUUGGGCGUAAAGCGAGCGCAGGCGGAAGAAUAAGUCUGAUGUGAAAGCCCUCGGCUUAACCGAGGAAUUGCAUCGGAAACUGUUUUUCUUGAGUGCAG
Molecule: ribosomal RNA, 304 nt
Filed under: uncultured bacterium
Lineage: Bacteria
Description: partial 16S ribosomal RNA
Rfam family: Bacterial small subunit ribosomal RNA
Source: RNAcentral